This 254-nucleotide ribosomal RNA is filed under the name uncultured bacterium. RNAcentral's name for it is "partial 16S ribosomal RNA". It matches the Rfam family "Bacterial small subunit ribosomal RNA", at positions 524 to 776 of the family's 1533-position model. The record is from RNAcentral.
UACGUAGGGGGCAAGCGUUGUCCGGAUUUAUUGGGCGUAAAGAGCUCGUAGGCGGUUCCGUAAGUCGUGAAGUCAAAUCUCUGGGCUCAACCCAGAAUCGCUUCCGAUACUGCGGUGACUGGAGUCCGGUAGGGGAGUGUGGAAUUCCUGGUGUAGCGGUGAAAUGCGCAGAUAUCAGGAGGAACACCGGUGGCGAAGGCGGGACUCUGGGCCGAUACUGACGCUGAGGAGCGAAAGCGUGGGGAGCAAACAGG